UACGUAGGGGGCAAGCGUUGUCCGGAUUUAUUGGGCGUAAAGAGCGUGUAGGCGGCCAUGUAGGUCCGUUGUGAAAACUCGAGGCUCAACCUCGAGACGCCGAUGGAAACCAUGUGGCUAGAGUCCGGAAGAGGAGAGUGGAAUUCCUGGUGUAGCGGUGAAAUGCGCAGAUAUCAGGAAGAACACCCGUGGCUAAGGCGGCUCUCUAGUACGGUACUGACGCUGAGACGCGAAAGCUAGGGGAGCAAACGGG
RNAcentral lists this ribosomal RNA (253 nucleotides) under uncultured bacterium. RNAcentral describes it as "partial 16S ribosomal RNA". It matches the Rfam family "Bacterial small subunit ribosomal RNA", at positions 524 to 776 of the family's 1533-position model. The record is from RNAcentral.